Molecule: ribosomal RNA, 440 nt
Filed under: uncultured bacterium
Lineage: Bacteria
Description: partial 16S ribosomal RNA
Rfam family: Bacterial small subunit ribosomal RNA
Source: RNAcentral
CCUACGGGAGGCAGCAGUGGGGGAUAUUGCACAAUGGGGGAAACCCUGAUGCAGCGACGCCGCGUGGGUGAAGAAGCGCCUCGGCGCGUAAAGCCCUGUCAGCAGGGAAGAAAAUGACGGUACCUGAAGAAGAAGCCCCGGCUAACUACGUGCCAGCAGCCGCGGUAAUACGUAGGGGGCAAGCGUUAUCCGGAUUUACUGGGUGUAAAGGGGGCGAAGACGGCGAUGCAAGCACGGAGUGAAAGCCCGGGGCCCAACCCCGGGACGGCUCUUGGAACUGCGUGGCUAGAGUGCAGGAGGGGCAGGCGGAAUGCCUGGUGUAGCGGUGAAAUGCGUAGAUAUCAGGAGGAACACCGGUGGCGAAGGCGGCCUGCUGGACUGCAACUGACGUUGAGGCCCGAAAGCGUGGGGAGCAAACAGGAUUAGAUACCCCAGUAGUC